GCCGGGAUGGCAGAGCGGUCAUUGCGCUGGUCUUGAAAACCAGUGCCCUCACGGGCUCGGGAGUUCGAACGAGGGACGUCGCAGUUUUUCUCCUCGCCCUUCGUGGGCUCGUCGAUAAAACUGCUCGUGCCCCUCGACCCCUUUGCGGGUUGGGGCCCUCCUGAAAAUCUCCCUCCCGGCG
Molecule: transfer RNA, 181 nt
Filed under: Microcaldota archaeon
Lineage: Archaea; Nanobdellati; Microcaldota
Description: tRNA-Ser
Rfam family: tRNA
About the family: Transfer RNA (tRNA) molecules are approximately 80 nucleotides in length.
Source: RNAcentral